Molecule: small RNA, 87 nt
Filed under: Pseudomonas fulva
Lineage: Bacteria; Pseudomonadati; Pseudomonadota; Gammaproteobacteria; Pseudomonadales; Pseudomonadaceae
Description: isrK
Source: RNAcentral
GUCGCUGCACAUUCAGCGACCGGGUGUGGAAGCCCGUGCAAAUCAAGGCGCACAAGCGCCACCAUACCGAAUGCAGGCGCUAUUUUU